ACUCCUACGGGAGGCAGCAGUGGGGAAUAUUGCACAAUGGGCGGAAGCCUGAUGCAGCAACGCCGCGUGCGGGAUGACGGCCUUCGGGUUGUAAACCGCUUUCAGCAGGGACGAAGCGUGAGUGACGGUACCUGCAGAAGAAGCACCGGCUAACUACGUGCCAGCAGCCGCGGUAAU
RNAcentral lists this ribosomal RNA (177 nucleotides) under uncultured bacterium. RNAcentral's name for it is "partial 16S ribosomal RNA". It matches the Rfam family "Bacterial small subunit ribosomal RNA", at positions 335 to 524 of the family's 1533-position model. The record is from RNAcentral.